This is a long non-coding RNA of Equus caballus (horse), 3015 nucleotides long. The record is from Ensembl. NCBI's taxonomy places the organism in Eukaryota, Metazoa, Chordata, Mammalia, Perissodactyla, Equidae.
AGACACUUUGGCUGUCUCAGGGGGCUUUAAGAUUGGCUCUGAGCUAACAUCUGUUGCCAAUCUUUUUUUUUUUUCUUCUCCUCAAAGCCCCCCAGUAUGUAGUUGUACAUGCUAGUUGUAGGUCCUUCUAGUUGUGGCAUGUGGGACGCCGCCUCACCGUGGAUUGAUAAGCAGUGCCAUGUCCACACCCAGGCUCUGAACUGACAAAACCCUGGGCCGCUGAAGUGGAGUGCACGAACUUAACCACUUGGCCCCGGGGCCAGCCCAGGCUUUUAACUUCAAUAGACAAGCCAGCUCGCUUCACUGUUGAAACUGGAUCACUGAUAUUCUAGAACCAAACCCAUCACCAACGUCCCAGGUAAAUAAAUGACAGGGCUGUUGUUAACAAUUCUCUCUUUAUUAAAAAGGGUCCUACAGCUUUACAAACACAGCUCAGACGUGGCCCUGCAGAGAUGGCGAGGCCAGCCUGGAGGCCCCUGCACCAUGUCAACAUCGAGCUCACACGUUUGGCUGCGCCCCGUGCGGGCUGCGGGCACCCCGACAGCGGGGCACGUGGCAGAGGUAUCGGGUGGUGGCACCGCACUCUCAAGAUUCACAGAACAUGGUAGGCCCACCUGAUUGGCAUGGCACUGAGUCCUGUACAGCUUUUAAAAAGACAAUUAUGACACAGAGUUCAAGUCCAGGAGAACUGUACAGUAAUUGAGUACAAAGUUUGGUGGCCUUGCCCGUGGCCCGCUGGGACAGAUGCCAUUUGAGCUCUGCCUUGAUUCUGUCACCCGGGUGGCAGCCAGCUGGGUGAGUGGUCACAGGCUGGGGCCAGGGGUUCACCAAUGAGCACACAGCCCUUUUUUGCCAGCAGGUGGGGGGUGGCCUUCCCCCCACCCCCACGAGCCCUGGGAAUUCGGCACGUGUGGGUGAGAACCCAGAGGGGAAGGAAGAGCCUGGGGUGCUGCCAGAGGUCUGAGUGUGCUGGGGCCCUCUAAUCUCAGGGGGCGGGCUUCUCUAAACCCAGCUGAAUGCUGCUGGCAUCCCUGCCCCACUCGUGUCCUGAGGCCCAGCCAGCCAGGGGCAGAGAACACUGGCUAAGAGGAUCCUGGCUCAAGGUGGGCAGACUUCCUCCAGCGGCAACAAAACAAUGCAAAAAAGCCCCUGUGGAACCUAGAGCCACCAAGGGUGGUGGCAACAGCAGCUGGUAACAGCCCCCACCGCCUGCCCGUCCUGAGGCCCACAGGGGAGCCACGGCCGCCCCUCACUGGCACCAGGUGAAGCUAAGGCACAGCACGGGCCGCGGUGCGACUGGGCACUACUUCCAAGAAGGGCACUGCAUUCACUUCGUGUGCACUUCACUCUGCUCAGAACAGUAUGUGCAUUUUUAUAGUUUCCCUGAAUGGUCUUGUGUCAAAAAAGUUUUCUUUGCCAAUAAAAAAUAGGAAAAUUACACAUGUAGUAAAAAUACGGGGGGAGUAUUUCUUCAUAGAAACCCUCAGGGCUGGCUCGAGGCGGAGGGAGAGCAGGAGAGCCCGGAACAUCAUCUGCUGUGCAAAGUCCAGCUCGGAGCCAUCUCCUCAGGGCCGGCCGCAACUCGCCCGGCGAGGCCGUGGCAGUGGGCCAAGUGCAAACUCUGCGUGUGGCUUUGAAACACCCACGUUCAGGAGAGGAGGGGGUGACUGACGACCACCCCACACAGAUUAAGCAAGCACCUUCCGGGCUAGCCCACCCAACCAACCCGUACCAGGGGCUGCGGCGGGCGGCGGGCUGGGACACACACAACUGUCUUUUGAAAACAAACCAGAAAUGAUGAACCAUGCUUACUAGAUAAAGCUGCAACAGGAGGACCACGAUUCUAAACAGGAACGGAGGGAGGCUUUUUCCUCCAAACUCGUGAGUUCAUCAACACUACGAGACUUAGAAAUGAUACCGAGAACGCAAACCAGCGCAACCACAGGGAUGCCAGGCGGAGGCCCAGCACACACAGCCGCCUGGGUGUACACGACUGGUUUCUACGUCUACUUACCACUGACCUACAGUUCUAAAAUCAGAUGGACAUCCCGGCCCAGGGCACCGGAGCCCUUGGCAGAGCACCUGGUCCUCGAAGCCUCCCCGGUGUGUGCGGAACCCCGGCCAGCAGGCGCAGGUGAGGGAGCCUCCCAGGAGGCCGAGGGCCACUCACUGGAGGAUGAAGCCCGGCUGGUGAGGCAGCCGGGGUGGGGGUCUCUGGGGGAGAGGUGGCGGGUAUGGUGACACAAACUGUGUGGAGAAUCCUUGGGGGGGGGGAAGGCCCACGCGGGGGGGCAGGGGUGGGCACUGUGAUCCUGGGUACGGAAAGGCCUGUCCUGAGGCCAAGGCGGCGGUAAAUGGCGUGGCUGACCGUCCUGCAGGCACCGGGGGCGGUGGGGGUGGGAUGCGCCGAGGCACGACUGACGGGGGCCCGCUGGCCUCCGAGGCGGAGUAGGGCAGGGGGGCAGCGGGCACUGGUUCGGGCACCCUGGGGGGCAGCGGGGCUGGAGCUGGGGCCUGCGGAAGUCUCUGCCCCUUCAGCACCAUCUCCUGGAGCUUCUCAAUUUUAACUCUGCGCAUGUGGGCCAGUUUCCGCUUGCUCUGGUAGACAUCGAUGAAGGAGUCGAGAGGAAGCUCUCCAUCGAGAAACUUCUCUGCCAUGUUCUGGAAGCAGCAGGAGAAACCCGAUUACAGGGAAGGUCAGCUGUGAGGGAAGGCGCUCCCUCACUACCCGGUGCGCAGGGAGAGCCAGCCUUAAGACGAAGCCCCGAGCUGCUGGCUCUCCCGGCCCGGAGAGGAAACCACUGCACCCAGUUCUGACCCUCCCGCGUUAAACCAACUGGAAUCCAGUGUUUCCUUCCUUCCACCAGCCGCAUCCUGACAGACUGGCCCCGUUCGGAGUCAGCAGGACAGAAAUUUGCUCGUGCCCAUCAGGGCUCCCGCCUAAUGGCGAUGGUUAAUUAGACCAAGUAGCCUAACUUGGUAACACACUGCCAGCCCUGAUGCGCUACAACUGCG